RNAcentral lists this ribosomal RNA (459 nucleotides) under uncultured bacterium. RNAcentral describes it as "SSU rRNA". It matches the Rfam family "Bacterial small subunit ribosomal RNA", at positions 26 to 518 of the family's 1533-position model. The record is from RNAcentral.
AGAAUCAACGCUGGCGGCGUGCCUAACACAUGCAAGUCGAACGAGAAAGUGGAGCAAUCCAUGAGUAAAGUGGCGACCGGGUGAGUAACACGUGACUAACCUACCUUCGAGUGGGGGAUAACAUCGGGAAACCGAUGCUAAUACCGCAUAACAUCGCAAGAUCAAAGCAGCAAUGCGCUGGAAGAGGGGGUCGCGGCUGAUUAGCUAGUUGGCGGGGUAACGGCCCACCAAGGCGAAGAUCGGUAGCCGGCCUGAGAGGGCGCACGGCCACACUGGAACUGAAACACGGUCCAGACUCCUACGGGAGGCAGCAGUGGGGAAUUUUGCGCAAUGGGGGAAACCCUGACGCAGCAACGCCGCGUGGAGGAUGAAGCCCCUUGGGGUGUAAACUCCUUUCGACCAAGACGAUAAUGACGGUACUGGUGGAAGAGCACCGGCUAACUCUGCGCCAGCAGCCGC